This is a long non-coding RNA of Mya arenaria, 1974 nucleotides long. RefSeq lists it as uncharacterized. NCBI's taxonomy places the organism in Eukaryota, Metazoa, Mollusca, Bivalvia, Myida, Myidae. The transcript has 3 exons. The record is from RefSeq and is a predicted model, not a curated record.
AGGUAUUAGCCAUGUAAUACAACUCGGGAAACAUCGGGUAACAUCGACAUAUAUCGCCACUCGCCGUAACAGAUCGCGACGAACAUCGGGCGUAUUCUGCCUGUACCGGAUGUUGCUAUUUUUAGAAACAGAAGGUAUUUCCAGGCUAUUCAUAGGUCAAUAAUGGAAUUUCUACAUCGUAGGAUUUGGAAACAGUGUGAUGUUUUUCUCAUGAAUAUACGUUUAAAAUAAAUAAACACUAAAAGUACACGCUGACAGUUGAUUACGAUACAUCUAACAAUUUGAGUCAUUACAGUAAAACAUGGAUUAUAAGUGAAAUAUACGCGUAAGAGAAGAUUUUCUCUCAAAAAAAACGAACUGUCAACAAUCGGCAUGGAACUGGGAUAUUCAGAUAUUUGUAUGAAAGGGCUCUGAAUCUGCCUGGGUGCUGACGCUGUGGAGGAACUUUCAAGGACAAAAAUUUUGGGUACUCAAAGAAUGGUCCUGUCCAGAAAUUCAUAUUGCCUCCGGAGUGUGGAAUAUGGUCCUAAAAUUCUGAUGUGCCAGCAGCCGGAAGUGGUCAACUGAAACCAGGAGGCGAUGCACCUCUGAACCACAUAUUUCAACCGAAUGAAGAUGAUAUUCACCCCUGUGGAACUUGUUUGUGUGUAAAUUAUUCAAAUGUGUGACAUUUACAGCAGAUGUGUAUAAAUUGAGCAACAUAAAGACAAUCAUGCAAAAUUAGCCUCAAUAAUAAGCUUCAUAAAGGCAUUUUGUGUUAUAACAUAAUCGUAUCAUAUAUAUGAUAGUGUUCAUAAGAAACUCGUGCUUGCUCUGUUUUUGCUGUUACAGUCAACAUUAGAAUAGUGACAGCUUUAAAACCUAAUAUAUAUGUACAAAUAUAAAAUAGUGCUUAGUAUCUUUAUCUGCCAGUUGGUGUAUUUGACUUGAUCCUUAUUUUACAGGAAAUCUGGUUCAUAAUUUUAAGGUCCGAAACGUUUUAGGAAUUGGUGAUAUAAAGUGUAAGAAAAGCAAUAAUAAAAUUUCAGAUAAUGUUUGAUAAAACCACAAUGUCCACACAAUGCGCUAUUAAACAGUAGCGUAUGGAAAUGUCCAACAGUAUCACUGACUUAACACCUCAUCUGUAUAUAAUUUGUUUCUGUUGAAUAUUAAUUGUAAGUGAAAUAUCUGCAUUUCGUUAAUCAUCUCGUAAGGUCAAAUACUUUGAGAGGGUUAAGAGAAUAAAUUUGUAUAUAAAUGCGGGUUGAUAAGCUUUGACAACUGAAACAUAUUGGAUAUUUAAGAAAGUCACAUGAUAUGAAAAUUUGGUUUCGACAUUUUCUGUGUUAAUUUCAGAAUAUACUUUCAGUUAUGUUGCAUAUUUGUUAUAUCGAUAAAUUUAAUGUUUCUUUCCGGACUGGAGGUUGAAAGAUGUCAAAAAGGUUAUGAGAGGUCAUUUGAAUGCACAUUCACUUUGAUGAGUUUACAUUACUAAACCGAUUUUAGCAAUGCUGUUUAAAAUAUUAAUGAAUUUAAAUUUAAUUAAUUUUAUGCACCUGUCUACAUGAUGUGUGUCAAAUUCAGUCAUCAUUUCAAACACUUAAUAAAAGUAGUAUUUCUAUUUAAAUUGCCUAUAAAAUCCAAAAAAACCCCACAACAACACAUUUUCAUCUUUAACAUUUUGCAACAUAUUUUGAACUUUGUUUGGUUAUGAUAUAUCUGUAACAAUCAACUAAGAAUACAUUCUGUAUUCUCUCUGAGAUGUUUUGUGAGUUUGUACACUCGAUAAUUUCUUCAUAUUUUAGAGUAAGGAAUCCUUUCGUUACUUUAUAGUAAGUAUUCGAGUAAAUUUUGCCAUCAUAUUUAAAUUGAUUUUGCUUUUUCAAGUCUACUUAAAAUAACAAUUAUUUUUGAUAGGAUAGUUAUGUUCUUUUGUGCAAUUAUUAUUGGUAUGCAAUAUGCUUAAAUUCAUUUUAUUCUUCUGUGGCUGGUACA